Molecule: small RNA, 439 nt
Filed under: Batzella sp. QM G333313
Lineage: Eukaryota; Metazoa; Porifera; Demospongiae; Poecilosclerida; Chondropsidae
Also listed under: 1 other name
Description: sequence contains 28S rRNA gene
Source: RNAcentral
CAAAAAGACCGCGAAACCGUUAGGAGGGAAACGAAUGCAGCUGAAGUGGUUCUCUGUCAGGCUCAGGAGACGUCGGUGGGUCCUGCCGGGUUCGGGGAGCCGAGAGGCCCCGGGGCCCGGACGGGCCGCCGUCUACUCUGCAAUUCUGCGGAGAGCCGGCCAACGGCAGUUGUUCCCGGCCGAGGAGGGCGCGUGGGGAGGUAGCUCGGCGCUUGCGCGGAGAACGUAUAGCCCCGCGUCCCGGCAGGUCUGGGGAGGACUGAGGAGAGUUGCGAAUCUUCGCACUGGCAGCGCAGGCCCCCUGGGGCUGGGCCGCUCCGGCCGGAGGGAGGGCCGCGGAGUGUCACUGCGUGCAGUGGCCGCCGACGGUCCCGCUCUCCGGAGGGAGGCCGGUCACACCUUGCGCUGCGGUCGUUGGUGCCCGAAUGGCUGCAUCCGA